UAGCAUUGAAUCUUCCUCGGAUGCCUCCAAAUACCAUUCAAUACUCGGCCCCAACUAGUGGUGCAUUUCCUGUGCCUCCACCAAGGCCACCAGGUAUGCCAAUGGUUCCAUCAAUUCGUCCAAUGCAGGCUCCAAUGCCAGUGGCACCUGGACAGCAGCCCAUUAUGAUGAAUCGACAGCUUACAAUGCCUCCAUCUAUAUCUGGAAAUCCACCAAGUAUGCCAGUUCCUCCUCCACCUGGAUCCCAGUUUACGCCAAUUCCUCGACCUUUUGCUCCUCUUCCUGUCCCUCCAACAGCAAUUGGUAUGAUGCCACCACCACCACCCUUGCCUCAAGGAAUGCCUCCACCACCUCCACCUGACGAUGCUCCUCCACCACUUCCAGACGAACCAGAGCCUAAGAGACAGAAGCUUGAUUCUAUGCUUAUUCCAGAAGAUCAAUUCCUG
RNAcentral lists this long non-coding RNA (446 nucleotides) under Manihot esculenta (cassava). RNAcentral's name for it is "long non-coding RNA (MESC_LNC002395)". The record is from RNAcentral. Lineage: Eukaryota; Viridiplantae; Streptophyta; Magnoliopsida; Malpighiales; Euphorbiaceae.